GGCGGACGGGUGAGUAACGCGUGGAGAACCUGCCGUAUACUGGGGGAUAACACUUAGAAAUAGGUGCUAAUACCGCAUAAGCGCACAGCUUCGCAUGAAGCAGUGUGAAAAACUCCAGUGGUAUACGAUGGAUCCGCGUCUGAUUAGCUUGUUGGCGGGGUAAAGGCCCACCAAGGCGACGAUCAGUAGCCGGCCUGAGAGGGUGAACGGCCACAUUGGGACUGAGACACGGCCCAAACUCCUACGGGAGGCAGCAGUGGGGAAUAUUGCACAAUGGGGGAAACCCUGAUGCAGCGACGCCGCGUGAGUGAAGAAGUAUUUCGGUACGUAAAGCUCUAUCAGCAGGGAAGAAAUAAAGUCCUUCGGACUUUGGACGGUACCUGACUAAGAAGCCCCGGCUAACUACGUGCCAGCAGCCGCGGUAAUACGUAGGGGGCAAGCGUUAUCCGGAUUUACUGGGUGUAAAGGGAGCGUAGACGGCAGCGCAAGUCUGGAGUGAAAUCCCAUGGCUUAACCAUGGAACUGCUUUGGAAACUGUGCAGCUGGAGUGCAGGAGAGGUAAGCGGAAUUCCUAGUGUAGCGGUGAAAUGCGUAGAUAUUAGGAGGAACACCAGUGGCGAAGGCGGCUUACUGGACUGUAACUGACGUUGAGGCUCGAAAGCGUGGGGAGCAAACAGGAUUAGAUACCCUGGUAGUCCACGCUGUAAACGAU
Molecule: ribosomal RNA, 712 nt
Filed under: uncultured bacterium
Lineage: Bacteria
Description: bacterial SSU rRNA
Rfam family: Bacterial small subunit ribosomal RNA
Source: RNAcentral